This 253-nucleotide ribosomal RNA is filed under the name uncultured bacterium. RNAcentral describes it as "partial 16S ribosomal RNA". It matches the Rfam family "Bacterial small subunit ribosomal RNA", at positions 524 to 776 of the family's 1533-position model. The record is from RNAcentral.
UACGGGGGGGGCAAGCGUUGUUCGGAAUUACUGGGCGUAAAGGGCUCGUAGGUGGCCAACUAAGUCAGACGUGAAAUCCCUCGGCUUAACCGGGGAAUUGCGUCUGAUACUGGAUGGCUUGAGUUUGGGAGAGGGAUGCGGAAUUCCAGGUGUAGCGGUGAAAUGCGUAGAUAUCUGGAGGAAUACCGGUGGCGAAGGCGGCAUCCUGGACCGACAUUGACGCUGAGGAGCGAAAGCUAGGGGAGCAAACGGG